Molecule: ribosomal RNA, 1733 nt
Filed under: Escherichia coli
Lineage: Bacteria; Pseudomonadati; Pseudomonadota; Gammaproteobacteria; Enterobacterales; Enterobacteriaceae
Description: bacterial LSU rRNA
Rfam family: Bacterial large subunit ribosomal RNA
Source: RNAcentral
GGGUUGUGAGGUUAAGCGACUAAGCGUACACGGUGGAUGCCCUGGCAGUCAGAGGCGAUGAAGGACGUGCUAAUCUGCGAUAAGCGUCGGUAAGGUGAUAUGAACCGUUAUAACCGGCGAUUUCCGAAUGGGGAAACCCAGUGUGAUUCGUCACACUAUCAUUAACUGAAUCCAUAGGUUAAUGAGGCGAACCGGGGGAACUGAAACAUCUAAGUACCCCGAGGAAAAGAAAUCAACCGAGAUUCCCCCAGUAGCGGCGAGCGAACGGGGAGCAGCCCAGAGCCUGAAUCAGUGUGUGUGUUAGUGGAAGCGUCUGGAAAGGCGCGCGAUACAGGGUGACAGCCCCGUACACAAAAAUGCACAUGCUGUGAGCUCGAUGAGUAGGGCGGGACACGUGGUAUCCUGUCUGAAUAUGGGGGGACCAUCCUCCAAGGCUAAAUACUCCUGACUGACCGAUAGUGAACCAGUACCGUGAGGGAAAGGCGAAAAGAACCCCGGCGAGGGGAGUGAAAAAGAACCUGAAACCGUGUACGUACAAGCAGUGGGAGCACGCUUAGGCGUGUGACUGCGUACCUUUUGUAUAAUGGGUCAGCGACUUAUAUUCUGUAGCAAGGUUAACCGAAUAGGGGAGCCGAAGGGAAACCGAGUCUUAACUGGGCGUUUAGUUGCAGGGUAUAGACCCGAAACCCGGUGAUCUAGCCAUGGGCAGGUUGAAGGUUGGGUAACACUAACUGGAGGACCGAACCGACUAAUGUUGAAAAAUUAGCGGAUGACUUGUGGCUGGGGGUGAAAGGCCAAUCAAACCGGGAGAUAGCUGGUUCUCCCCGAAAGCUAUUUAGGUAGCGCCUCGUGAAUUCAUCUCCGGGGGUAGAGCACUGUUUCGGCAAGGGGGUCAUCCCGACUUACCAACCCGAUGCAAACUGCGAAUACCGGAGAAUGUUAUCACGGGAGACACACGGCGGGUGCUAACGUCCGUCGUGAAGAGGGAAACAACCCAGACCGCCAGCUAAGGUCCCAAAGUCAUGGUUAAGUGGGAAACGAUGUGGGAAGGCCCAGACAGCCAGGAUGUUGGCUUAGAAGCAGCCAUCAUUUAAAGAAAGCGUAAUAGCUCACUGGUCGAGUCGGCCUGCGCGGAAGAUGUAACGGGGCUAAACCAUGCACCGAAGCUGCGGCAGCGACGCUGAUGCGUUGUUGGGUAGGGGAGCGUUCUGUAAGCCUGCGAAGGUGUGCUGUGAGGCAUGCUGGAGGUAUCAGAAGUGCGAAUGCUGACAUAAGUAACGAUAAAGCGGGUGAAAAGCCCGCUCGCCGGAAGACCAAGGGUUCCUGUCCAACGUUAAUCGGGGCAGGGUGAGUCGACCCCUAAGGCGAGGCCGAAAGGCGUAGUCGAUGGGAAACAGGUUAAUAUUCCUGUACUUGGUGUUACUGCGAAGGGGGGACGGAGAAGGCUAUGUUGGCCGGGCGACGGUUGUCCCGGUUUAAGCGUGUAGGCUGGUUUUCCAGGCAAAUCCGGAAAAUCAAGGCUGAGGCGUGAUGACGAGGCACUACGGUGCUGAAGCAACAAAUGCCCUGCUUCCAGGAAAAGCCUCUAAGCAUCAGGUAACAUCAAAUCGUACCCCAAACCGACACAGGUGGUCAGGUAGAGAAUACCAAGGCGCUUGAGAGAACUCGGGUGAAGGAACUAGGCAAAAUGGUGCCGUAACUUCGGGAGAAGGCACGCUGAUAUGUAGGUGAAG